Cyanistes caeruleus (blue tit) is the source of this 6819-nucleotide non-coding RNA. Lineage: Eukaryota; Metazoa; Chordata; Aves; Passeriformes; Paridae. The record is from RefSeq and is a predicted model, not a curated record.
CUCCAGCUCUCGGCUGCGGCGUGGCUUGGCCGGGCCAUUUCGCGGCUGCCGGCGGUGGCGCGGUGCCCCGCUCCGAGGGCUCUGGCGAUCCGUGCCGGAGAGUAGCGCCCGCCCGGCUGCAGGGGCGGCCGCACCAGCCGUUGUGUCAUUGCAGCGCCCCAACCGGCCCAAACCGGCUCAAACCGGCCCAAGCCGGAUCUGCUUCCCUCUUCCCCAGUGUUCUCUUCUCCCGCCUCCUCCUCCUUCUCUCUCCCCCCUCGCCCUGGCCUCCAUUUCAGAGGCACCGCGAACUUGUGCUCCCCUGCGGCUUCCCCACAGCCCGGCACGGCCUCCCGCCACUGCUCUGUGCCUGUGGGGCUGCUGCUGCUCCUGAAUCCAUGCAUGUCGUCUUUGUCCUGGCCUCCUAACCACAUUUCUAUUUCCUUCAGAGUGAGGGAAGUACUUUAUUUUGAAAAUCUGGGGUUUUUCCACUUACGAAAGAAAUAAGCAGAACAAGCUUUUCUGUUUUUGGCGAAAGCUGACUCUGCUUGGAGAUGGUGGUCUUGUGGCGCUCCCCAUCCCUUGUUCCUCUGCAGUUAUGCAGCUUUCGUUCCUGCUUGCCCCAUCCAUGCUUGGAUGUGACAUUUUGCUUCCUUUGCACAGGACCCUAGCUGCUCUGUUCUUUUUUAUCACUGACUUACAAGCAGUGUGUUUCCAUGGCCAGCUGCCACCAUGGCAAAGAAAGGCCUCCCGGUGCCUGCCCAUUUUCCCCAGUCACUCCCGUUAGUACAGGAGACAAACCUGGGCGUUCCCCCUUCUGGUCCAUGCAGAUACCAGGAAGACAAGCACACCCUGUCUAUUGUUAGGUCAUCACUGCGGAAAACACUGUUUCUUCUCCCUCCACCAACACAUUCCCCAUUUUUAGAAGUUAAAGGAAUUUGGCCUACUCCAUGUUGGACAGAAUCUUGUGUGGAGGUUUGACUUGCAGUUCCUCCAGCAGCAUCUGGAGCAGAACCAAGACAGCACUCCUCCCCCUGGAGGUGCCAUGGGAUGUCUCUUAGCUAUAUGGAGGCAGUGCAACUGGCUCAACUGGCUGGCGCAACUCUGUGGCUGAGUGGUAUUGUCAGGCAUGAUUGUAUGCCAUGCUGGAGUGGUAAAUGUGCAUGAGUUUUAGGUAGCUCUUCUGCACUUUUGCCAGUUUCAAUGCAAAGUUUGCUUUUAGACCUCCAUGCUUCUGAAGGCAUUGAGGCAGCAACACACCUGAGGGGGAGGAGUAGGUAUAUAUGUAUGCCACUCACUCCCCUGGCUUUGGUUUCAUCUUCAGUUGAAUAGAUCUAGCCAGCAGCUGCUGUUGCCGAAGAUAUUCCCCACUUUCACCUGUGCUAGCUUUGGUAUUUGUCAGAUAUCUCCUAAACCAAUUUAGUUCACUGACAUUCUAGAUGCUACUUCCAUCCUCCAAGGGAAAUGUUCUGCCAGAUCCAUGAGUUUAGCUGGCUCACCAGAGUCGAGAAAAAUCCUGCAAUCAACUGGAGAGGAGGUCUGCUACACAAGUGGGUAUAGCAAAUGAGUAAACAACCCUGUUUAUGGCAGCAAGCCAUGGCAAACAAGGUUAAUUUGUUUCACUGUCAACCCCUUUGUGAACAAUUCCUCCUUCAGGAGGAGAGGCAACCACGUGUACCUGCAUCUGAAUCUCUGGAAGUAAAACAUUUAUUAUCCUUAGGGGUAUAAGGACUAGAUGUAAAGAUUACUCCCACAGGCCUUUCACAACUGUGUCUGCAUGUAAAUAUAUGUGUAUUGUUUUUAAGGACGGCACAAAAACCAGGCAAAAAUCUUGUUGCUAUGUUGUGACAAACGUUUGCAGAGUACAGGGAUUCUUGAAGUAAAUUUUUCACUGUCAUCUAUGAGCCAACCGCUCCCAUGCUCCCCAUCCACAGCAGCAUGGUGGACAGUGUUGAGCAAGAUAUUCAGUAGUUGCUGCAGUGCAGCUGCUGCAUGAGCUCUGGGUGGCAGGAAGUGGUUGGAGCACCAGACAAAAGACUGUGAACUGGUGCCAACUGUUUGCACUACAGAGAGUACAGGGAACCUGUGGCCCAGCCAGCUGACCACUCAGAGACACAGCAGGAGCCAAGGUCUCAUCUAGAAGACCCUAGACCAUCAUGCAUAGGGUGAGUGUGUAAAAAAAACAGGGCUUCCUUUGUUUGUGGUCUCACCUCACAGGACCAGUUCAAGUUCUUUUUGCAUUACUGUACCAGGUAGAAGACUUUGCAUUUUUUUUUGUGAACUUCAUGAAGUUUCUUUUGAUUUAUUUUUCCAGUUUGUCAGGACUACUGCUGAGUGACAACCCAAUUCAUCAAGUACAUUGACCUCUACUUUUCCAGUUUUCUGGCUGCAACAUGACAAUUCUCUUCACCAGCUGCAGUGUUUUACAGAAGGCUGUUUACACACUAUUCUCACUGCCUGCUGGUGGAGGAGACACCACUAUUCACAGAAUGACCUGACAAGAAAUUUUUGUGUGUGCAAACUUGCACAUAUACAUGCAUACUAACACACACACACACAACCAAGUUAAGCCUGAAAAAAAGCAGAAUUAAUGGAAUUCAUUACACGGUGGUGGUUUGCAGUUAUGCUGCAUAUUUCAAGGACUUCCUGCUCCAGGAGUAGAGGAAUGCUGCAUUACAAAACACGUGGUUCCUUGACUAGCUGUAAAACAAAUGAUUUAAGAGAAAAAGGGAAAUAAAAUCUUACUCUCAUCUCACAGGAAGGAUGUGUGUAAACAACUGUCUUCUAGAAGGGGCUAGCACAUUUGUGUAAAGUACUGCUUCCCCUUCCCCACCUGUGCCAUUGCCUUCAGCUCUCAUGCCAAAAGAAAAUACUUGCAUUUUCACAUUUUUUCUUACAGUUUAAAGUAUCCUCUCAUUUUCACACCUUAUUUAUAAUUUUUGAAUGUUGGCAGGCCUGGCUGUGGCUCUGGAAGGCCACUCCAACAAAGAGAAAGUCAGUGCUCUGCCUCUCUUUCCUGUUCCCUUGCACUCUCUCCCUGGUUUCCUUAAAAAAAACAGGUCAGAGUGUCUCAGAAAAAUUUUAGGGAAGUGGUUUAAGUUUUUAUCUGUAACUGCAAGAAUAAGACUAACAAAUAAAAGGAAGUAGAAACAUUCAGGAAUUUAAGGAAUCAGGAAACCAUUUUGCAUUACAACUGAAUAUGUUGUACUGCUAACUAUUUUUGAAACAGGACUUGCAAAAAAUUUGUCUAAUGCAAUAUGUUUCAUUUAGGAUCAGCACCAGCACUCCUGAUUUUGGCUGUUCUCAUCUGUCUCCCUCUCCUGGUCAAUGGCAGCAAGUCUACAAUUCGAUAGAGUUUUGACUGGAAUAUUGGGGGCCUACCAUGAGGAAUUACUAUCUUUAUUGUACAUGUAACAGGAAUGUGACUGGCAGCUGGCCUGUGUUCUGAAGGAUAACAGUUUUCAUACCUGAAUAAAUUAGUGGGAGAGUGUGGAUUGCAGUGGUCUUAUAUUUUUCCACAGCUUAACAAAAAGUGCAAUGACUUCGAGAGCUUCAUGGCUGUUCUGCAGACAGAUGCACAAUUGUGAAACAUCAAUAUGGACUGCAAAUCUCUACUGUCAGUCAGCUCCUCUUCCCCUCUGCAUAACGUAAUCCCUAUCUCCACAAUGCCUGCACAGAUACACAUUUGCAAAGAUGUUUUUCUGGAGAUAGCGUGCAUAGCAAACACUCCCUUACUUGUUCUCAUCUCUAGCAACAUUAUACGGAGUUUCAGUUCACAGUUCCCUGUGUUCCCCCUCCUACCACUGAAAUGCAGCCAACUCUGAGCUGCGGCUAUUAAACAUCACACAAGCAACACCACAAAACAGAUUGUGGAAAGCACAGGAAUUCAAAGAAAAGCAACAAAUUGAGUGAGGUCUGGGAAGCGAUAAUAAAGGAUCAUAAGGAAAUGAAUUACUCAUAAUGCAGAAUAGCCAUCACCUCGAUGUCCAGGUUUUACCAGGAUGCAAGGGCAAGUUUUUGAGGGUGGCACAAAGAGGUGUCACUAGGAGCAGUCAGGUUUCAGCCAGGGAGAUAAGCAGGUCAGCUUCCUUAACCACUGAGUUUUGUCAGUCUGUUUCAGAGUCCAAAUGAAAGGGCUGACGGCAUCAUUGCUUGGGGGUUUUAAAGCUAGACAAUUUCAAGACAGGUCAAGGCACUUUCAGGACAGCUGAAUAAAACAAGAUGGAGCACGUACUGUAUCCAUUCCCACUUUGUAUGAGUCUGAGAAAACAGUUGGGAGAAAGAUGGAAAGGUCUGAAGGAACCACAGUACAAAGUUAGAAAACAGUGUGAAUUGGUGUGAUAAUAGCUGUGACAUGGCCGGGGAAAAGCUUCCAAAGACGGUGCUCUUCUUUGACAAGAAGAUCAUCUUCAUGAUGACCUUAAGGUGAGAAAGGAGGGAAAAGGGGAAGAUUGGCAAUGAGUCAGAGGAAAGAUAAAUGUGUCUGAAGGUAUGUAGCCGUUUAUGUGUGUGUGUGUUGCACAACAGAAAUCUCAUUCAGGUCAGAAAAAGCAUUUUAAGUGUCUGCAUCUCAGUUUGCUUACACUAGUGGGUAGAAGAGGGCACUUUGGCACAAAACCUGUACAUGAAUUCUUGCUGCUUUAGGUAAAAUGAUGAGUGGGGAAGGUUGCCAGACACUGUCACUGAGCAUUCAAUGGACAACUAAGAAGCAACUGGAAAAGUCUGUUCCCAACUCAAGUUGCAUAGCAACACUAAAUCGUCAGAUUGCUGUUAUGUCAGUCCCUUACAUUAUCCCCAUUAUUACAGCCAGUUUUAGGAACCACGCAGUAUGAUGUUACUAGCCCACUUCACAGCUGGAUGUGUGACCUUUGUCUCUUGUUGAAUGAUGCCAUGUAACUUACUACAAAGGGGUCUCAAAGUAGUACACCAGAGAGAAAAAUCUUUGAGGAUCCAUCAACACAGACCAUAAGGAGCAAAGGAUGUACCUGUGCAGCAUGGGGCAGGAGAGAGAUCAGGACACAUCAAUAUCCUUAAAGAAGUCUAGUGUCUGCCAAACGUGUCAGGAUGUGUAAUCCCAUCACUUCUCUGAACUGAGUCUUCACUGAUCCAGUUGAAAGCCUGUAUUAAGGGGUGAGCCACAGCUGCUCAUGUGUUUUGAAUGCUUCCAGUGCAUGCUUGUGCUUGGUGUUUGGACCUCUCCUGUGGCCAAUUGCUGCUGUGCAAUUCUAACUUCUAAAUUCUAAACAGCUGUUUGCUGCUUUUCAGUAUAAGCACCUUGUGAGCUGUUUCCUGGUAGAGAUGCUGAAGUAGUAAAGUAGUCACAACAUCAUCAUCCUGUGAUGUUUCAGACACUGCCAGUCUGAAAAAAUACCUAGAAGUCUGUUUCUGUUGCAGGAUGUUUCUAGUAACCUGCAUAGUAUCUUUCCUGGAUGUCUUGUGUAGCACAGCAUCCUCCUCCCUUUUUCAUUCUAUUGCUCCUUCUUUUGCUGGCAUAAGAUCCUGAAAUGCCCCUGCCAUCUCUUUGCAGCCAAGGCAACCAGGGUCACUGGGUACCAAGGUAUGGCUGGAGUUUUAAAGAUGCAAAUAAAGUAAAUGAACUUCUUUACUGCAAAUAUCAGAGUGACAUGGAUUUAGGAUACCAGGUGGAAUGAAAAUUACCUUAUAAGCCUUAUGCACUGGAUGAUGGGGAGAGUGACUUGAUAAGCAAGUAAUUCUUAGUGAUAGAUCUCCUUUCUGAAGAGUGCCUGGUUGUAAACUAUGCCAGCUUUUUCAAGAUCACCGCUGCAAAUUAUGAACCAGCAAACAGACCUCAGAAGGACAAGAUAGAUUGCCUGCUCCCUCUGUAUAUAGUAAUGGAAUUAUUCUGCUUCAUUAAAACAACUGAUGAGAAAAAAGAGCCUCAAGAUUCAGUUCCUCUGUUUUUGUGCCCAGGAUAUAAAGCACAACACCUGGACUGGGACCUACAAGUCACCCUUGCUUAAAAUCAAGGAAACUGAGCUGAGACAAAGUCUAAUACAGCAGACGAUAAACAUUCAUGUAUGACAUUGCUAAAAGACAUCUGAUAGGUGUGGAGUUACCCUUAACAAAGGAGCAUCUCUUUAAUGCAAAAUAGCUUAGGAGUUCUUGUGAAAAUGGAACAACUGUUUGUCUGAUUUUCACCUUUCUUCCCUUUAGUACUCCCCUGAACUGCUGGAUGGGACGCUCCAAAAAGCUUAUUUCCCUCUCCAGGAGAGUGUAUUUUUGAUGUAUCUUGCUUCCCUGUGAGGAUGAGGGAUUUGAGAUCAUUAGUGAGACAGCAGGUGUUGGAGUAGUCACUGGAACCCCCCAGCUUUGUAGCUCAGUCAUCUGGAGGUCCACUCUAAGGAGGGAUUUAUCCAAGGGCCCUGCAGAGCAAGUAAGACUUGUAGCUGCUCUGUAUGUGUCUGUUGACAGUCCUGGCAGUUCAGUGGAGGAGUCAGUAAUGAGUUUUAGGCUGUGUCAGCCGGACUGAAGGGUUUUGUGUAACCCUGCUCUCACAGACUAUCUGGAAGUACAGAUAUGAGAGACGGUUCAAUGGAACCAGUUCAUGUUUGAUAAUUAAUAUGGCUUUUCCUUUUAAACUUAGGCCUUGUAGUUUAUGGUGGAUAGGUCCCCAUUAAUGAGUGGAGGAUAUUUUUGUCUGACUUUACACUAUGGACAGACCUCUGCAUGAUUUCUCUACAUGUAUCUUUAUCAGUUUCAGUCUGUAUGUGUUACCAAGUACCAUCUUUGCAGUGCCUCAGCUUUAUUUGACAAUCUGAGUUUCCUAUGACCUUUGAGGAUAACAUUUUCAGAUUAAAAUGUGCUGAAUAAGGACAAAUG